GAGUUUGAUCCUGGCUCAGGAUGAACGCUGGCGGCGUGCUUAACACAUGCAAGUCGAACGGGGUACCCAUGACGGAGGCUUCGGCCAACUGAAUGGACUACCUAGUGGCGGACGGGUGAGUAACGCGUGAGGAACCUGCCUUGGAGUGGGGAAUAACAGUUAGAAAUAGCUGCUAAUACCGCAUAAUGCAUUUGGAUCGCAUGAUCUGGGUGCCAAAGAUUUAUCGCUCUGAGAUGGCCUCGCGUCUGAUUAGGUAGUUGGCGGGGUAACGGCCCACCAAGCCGACGAUCAGUAGCCGGACUGAGAGGUUGGCCGGCCACAUUGGGACUGAGACACGGCCCAGACUCCUACGGGAGGCAGCAGUGGGGAAUAUUGGGCAAUGGGCGCAAGCCUGACCCAGCAACGCCGCGUGAAGGAAGAAGGCCCUCGGGUUGUAAACUUCUUUUAUCAAGGACGAAACAAAUGACGGUACUUGAUGAAUAAGCCACGGCUAACUACGUGCCAGCAGCCGCGGUAAUACGUAGGUGGCAAGCGUUAUCCGGAUUUACUGGGUGUAAAGGGCGUGUAGGCGGGACUGCAAGUCAGAUGUGAAAACCAUGGGCUCAACCCAUGGCCUGCAUUUGAAACUGUAGUUCUUGAGUGUUGGAGAGGCAGGCGGAAUUCCGUGUGUAGCGGUGAAAUGCG
Molecule: ribosomal RNA, 684 nt
Filed under: uncultured bacterium
Lineage: Bacteria
Description: bacterial SSU rRNA
Rfam family: Bacterial small subunit ribosomal RNA
Source: RNAcentral